GCCUACGGGAGGCAGCAGUAGGGAAUUUUCGUCAAUGGGCGCAAGCCUGGACGAGCAAUGCCGCGUGAACGAGGAAGGUCUUCGGAUCGUAAAGUUCUGUUGAAGGGGAAAGAGAGCGGAGAGAGGAAAUGGUCUCCGAUUGAUAUUACCCUUCGAGGAAGUCACGGCUAACUACGUGCCAGCAGCCGCGGUAAUACGUAGGUGGCGAGCGUUAUCCGGAAUGAUUGGGCGUAAAGGGUGCGUAGGCGGCCUGCUAAGUCUGGAGUGAAAGGUACCGGCUCAACCGGUACAGGCUCUGGAAACUG
RNAcentral lists this ribosomal RNA (305 nucleotides) under uncultured bacterium. RNAcentral describes it as "bacterial SSU rRNA". It matches the Rfam family "Bacterial small subunit ribosomal RNA", at positions 337 to 635 of the family's 1533-position model. The record is from RNAcentral.